UACGUAGGGGGCAAGCGUUAUCCGGAUUUACUGGGUGUAAAGGGAGCGUAGGUGGUGUGGUAAGUCAGAUGUGAAAGCCCGGGGCUCAACUCCGGGAUUGCAUUUGAAACUAUCAUGCUUGAGUGCAGGAGAGGUAAGUGGAAUUCCUAGUGUAGCGGUGAAAUGCGUAGAUAUUAGGAGGAACACCAGUGGCGAAGGCGGCUUACUGGACUGUAACUGACACUGAGGCUCGAAAGCGUGGGGAGCAAACAGG
RNAcentral lists this ribosomal RNA (253 nucleotides) under uncultured bacterium. RNAcentral's name for it is "partial 16S ribosomal RNA". It matches the Rfam family "Bacterial small subunit ribosomal RNA", at positions 524 to 776 of the family's 1533-position model. The record is from RNAcentral.